Long non-coding RNA from Drosophila arizonae, 571 nucleotides. RefSeq lists it as uncharacterized. The record is from RefSeq and is a predicted model, not a curated record. Lineage: Eukaryota; Metazoa; Arthropoda; Insecta; Diptera; Drosophilidae.
UUACCCACAACGGACUGAAAGUACUAUAAUAAAACCCAAUAAGAACACAAAAUUAAUUCCACCUAUAUUUUUGGGCAAACAAUAUAAAAAUUAAAUUUUUUGAAAGUUCCUUUUUCUGUGAAGCAAAGCACUAAAAAAAAACACUACCUCAAGAUGUGUGGCGGAGGAUGCGGCGGAUGCAGUUACGGCUGGGGUCCCUGGGCUGCGUGUGGUCCGUGUGGUGGUGCUUGCGGGCCGUGCGGCCCCUGGGGCAGCUGUGCGCCAUGUGGCGGUGGACCAUGUGGCUGCGGGCCGAGAGGUUGUGGUCCCUCCGGUCCGGCCUGUUGGCCCUUCGGAUUAUAUACGUGCUAGGCUUUGGAAAGAAAUUCAGGAGCGCUCGCCAUGCCCGACACCUUCCGAACCCCUACAGCGGAAUUCCAGCCAGUGUCGUGUCUUGGAUAACAGGUUGAGCUUGGUUGUCUAUAUAUGCAGCACAGCAACCGUCAACCAUCGAGAUGCAACUUACAACAGACAAGCAGAGAUCUGUAAUUAUGGCGUCAUAUUCUAAACAAUAAAAUUUUACUGUCUUCAU